RNA transcript from Leptidea sinapis, 817 nucleotides. RefSeq lists it as uncharacterized. Lineage: Eukaryota; Metazoa; Arthropoda; Insecta; Lepidoptera; Pieridae. The record is from RefSeq and is a predicted model, not a curated record. The transcript has 6 exons.
CAAUUACAGUACAUUAAAAAUCAAUGUUUGGAGAAGUAGCUACGUACUUAAUAUUUAUGUUAUAUAUUAUUUAUUAAUAACAUAAUGGAAUAUCAAAAGAAAAAACGAGGUGAAAAUUGGAGUUCUGAAGAGAUAGAAAUUUUACGUCAACUUUUAACCGAGUCGGCACAAAUAUCGAAGAUAAGUCGACUAAAACUAGCAAUAAUAUGUUAAAGAUAAAAGAGUGGAGCAAUAUAAUGCAUAAUUUUUAGAAGACAGCAAUUGAAGACCGGAGGCGGUGAAAAACCCCCCUCACCUUCUCCAGAGGAUAUAGCCAUUAUGGAAAUAGCUCCUCAUGAAUUUUUAAUGCAGUAUAAUGAAUUUGACGGUGAUGCAAUGAUUCAUACCACUAAAGAACCUAUUGCUGGCACUAGCACUACCAGCUCAGUAGCAGAUGAUAUGGUGACAGUCAUUAAUAAGGCAAAUGAAGAAUCUAGUAUAAGUAUAGCUAAGCAAGAGAUAUUUAACAAUGAGGCAACAGAAAAAAAUGUUAUCAAUAACAAUACUGGCAAAUCUGAUCCUGCUAUAAAGAGAAAAAAGAGCCAACAAAACAGAUGUGAUGAUUGUAGCCUAAUUAUAAAAAGCAACAUAGACUUUAAAGAAAGACAAUUAGAAAUGAUGGAAGAGGAACAUAAAAUUAACAUAAAAAAUUUAGAAUUAACAACAAUAAAAUUGGAACUUGAAAUUGCCUAAUUAAAGAAGAAAUUGGAUGUAAAAGAAUGAAAUAAAUUUUUUGUUAUGUACUAGAAAUGAGUUAAAAUAAAUUGCCUUCUCCUAA